RNAcentral lists this transfer RNA (76 nucleotides) under Clostridia bacterium. RNAcentral describes it as "tRNA-Thr". It matches the Rfam family "tRNA". Rfam says of the family: Transfer RNA (tRNA) molecules are approximately 80 nucleotides in length. Their secondary structure includes four short double-helical elements and three loops (D, anti-codon, and T loops). Lineage: Bacteria; Bacillati; Bacillota; Clostridia. The record is from RNAcentral.
GCUGGUGUAGCACAGCCGGUAGUGCAGCUGAUUCGUAAUCAGCAGGUCGCAGGUUCGAAUCCCGUCACCAGCUCCA